This 156-nucleotide ribosomal RNA is filed under the name Sassafras albidum. RNAcentral describes it as "5.8S ribosomal RNA". It matches the Rfam family "5.8S ribosomal RNA". Rfam says of the family: 5.8S ribosomal RNA (5.8S rRNA) is a component of the large subunit of the eukaryotic ribosome. It is transcribed by RNA polymerase I as part of the 45S precursor that also contains 18S and 28S rRNA. RNAcentral also lists the same sequence under 5 other names. Lineage: Eukaryota; Viridiplantae; Streptophyta; Magnoliopsida; Laurales; Lauraceae. The record is from RNAcentral.
GACUCUCGGCAACGGAUAUCUCGGCUCUCGCAUCGAUGAAGAACGUAGCGAAAUGCGAUACUUGGUGUGAAUUGCAGAAUCCCGUGAACCAUCGAGUCUUUGAACGCAAGUUGCGCCUGAGGCCACUCGGCCGAGGGCACGCCUGCCUGGGCGUCA